GCAAACUUGGUCAUUUAGAGGAAGUAAAAGUCGUAACAAGGUUUCCGUAGGUGAACCUGCGGAAGGAUCAUUAUUGAAACAUUGUAAAGGAGAGUUGAGCUGGUCCUUCAAGGGCAAGUGCUCGCUGUUCUUUCAAUCUUCAUCCACCUGUGCACCUUUUGUAGAGAGUCCGAGAAACUGGGGCCUUUUAAGUAAGGUUUCUAGGUAUUGGGCUCUUUAUGUUUUUAUACACACUAAAUGUAUGUUUAUGAAUGUCUUUUAUAAGGGACUUAACUGGACCUUUUAAAAACUAUACAACUUUCAGCAACGGAUCUCUUGGCUCUCGCAUCGAUGAAGAACGCAGC
Molecule: unclassified non-coding RNA, 344 nt
Filed under: uncultured fungus
Lineage: Eukaryota; Fungi
Description: partial contains small subunit ribosomal RNA, internal transcribed spacer 1, and 5.8S ribosomal RNA
Rfam family: Eukaryotic small subunit ribosomal RNA (bases 1-73)
Source: RNAcentral